RNAcentral lists this long non-coding RNA (2760 nucleotides) under Dromaius novaehollandiae (emu). Its description in RNAcentral is "lncRNA (ENSDNVG00000016993.1)". Lineage: Eukaryota; Metazoa; Chordata; Aves; Casuariiformes; Dromaiidae. The record is from RNAcentral.
AAAAGUUCAGGAUGCAGCUGCUUUCUCUUCUGAGUCUACUGAAAGUGCUCUCCAAGCAAUGUGGAAAUUCUCUCUGUAAUGACCACAGUGCGCUGAGCCAAGUGAGGGAUUCAGAAGUCAUCACUCUGGCAGGCACCGGCCUGUGCGCUUGUCCUCUGGUGAGGAGAGAAACUUUCCGUUGCGCUGCCCCUCCAGCCUCCUCAAGAGCAAGGAUGGGGAGGGCUUCCAGAGGCCAGCUCAUCAGCUCUGGUGCUGAAUCAGCCCAAGAAUUUUUAACUACAGGAGAAAAAUGGAUCACACUGGAGGACAUUCUCCUUGAAGAGAACUUCACCCUGGCCUAAUCAGAGAUGCAAAUUUCUGAGGACAAGAAAUGUUCUUGCUUGACAACAAAAUGAGACCCAAGCAUGAAACCAGCUUUGGGUCACUUAUUCCAAGUUGCUGGAACAAGUAUCUGUGAAAGAAAUCGAGCCCAUUUCAGUAGGAAUGGUCAGUUCUUAAAUUAGAAAGUGGCAAGGAUCUUACAGACCAUAUAAUCAUCUCUCGCAGUGUUCCUACGUCUAUGGCAGCAAGCAGAGCUUCGGAAGGUUUCCUGUCAUACUGACAAGCAAUUUGGGGAGUGUACAAACAAUGUCAAGACCAGGGUAAAGCCUUCCCAGCCCAGCCUGCGCAGGCAGAUGACAAAGGAAGAAUAGGCGUCUGUCGGCCCAAGCAACGACUUCGUGUGUCUCCUCAGAAAAGCAUCUGUGAUUGGAAUUUGCCAACAGUUCCACCAAACCACGCUGGACCAGCACAUCAGGGAGAAAGGGAAGAAUGAUUCAAGUUGGAUCUACUUUCCAUAUUUGUGAGUCUCCUGGCAGAUGCAAAUGAAUAACUACUUACAACUGCCAAAAAGAACGUCACUUCUCUAGGGAUGCUGCGGACCAUACAGGUGACUUUUCUGUCCUUACCCUGUCAGAGAGAGGAAUCAGAAUUUUCUAUUUUUCCACAGCAAGGGGAUCUCAAAACCUGUAAUUACAAAAAUAUAUAAAAACAUAUAAUCCAGCACAUUUGUUUGAAUAAUACAGUCCUUUAAUUACAGAUAUACCAUAAUUCUUAAUUUUUUGAGAAAAUGUGAUUACUGCCAUUUCUUCAUUAGACUACAGUUUCACUGUUUAAGAAAAUUUUAUUUUAAAGGCAUGGUAUUAUCCACUUACUCCACAUUGAUAAAAACCCCAACAAAGCAUAAGCAAACACUUGAAUGCUCUCUUCCUAGCAACCAAGGUCCUUCAUCAGAAAAGCAGCAUAUCUGUUUUUUUCUGUACCUUGUAUUAAGCCAAAUUUCUAGUUCGCAACCCUUCCACCAUUCAAUAACCAUCAAAUUCCCAGAAUAUCAUUUUAGGUGAAAGUCUGAGCCAGUGACUAAGCCACCACUGUUCAUUUUCUAAAAGAAAUUGAAUUUUGUUUUCAAAAACACCACAUGAGAAACAUGAGCGCCCUCAGCUUUAAUAUUACAGCAAACCCAUCUAUCAAGCCGUCAAGAACAACUUUGGGCCAAAAUUCUGCAUUGGAUACAUCUAAGUCCCUAUUUGAAUAUCUGUGUUACCACUACUUACUUGUAAUACUACGGCCAAGGGGCCAGAUUUGCAGAAUUUUGUUUAUCCUUCACUUCCACUGGCAGAAAUACAAAAAGAUUAAUAUUAGGCACUAAGCCUCUUCACGUUUACUAACUUGCUCUGCAACUUAACUCUUCAAAUUACUGGCAACAUUUUAAAAAGUGCUGAGCUUCUGCAGUUCCCACUACAGUGAGCAGGAAAUACAGAUUACUCGGUACUCCCUUGGGAUUUACCUCUAUCUUUACAGGCUGAUAUACCUGUACUGUUUCUACUGCAGAAACAGUUAUUUUGGAUCUCUUAUUAUCUCUGUGGGAUGCCAGGAACUCCCCAAAAGCCCCAAAGCACAAAGAAAUGUAAUGUUAAAUAACAAUGAGUGAGCAGUGGUAGUUAAACAAAAAUAAUGGCAGUUUUGAAGUUUUUUCAACAAACCCUUUCUUCAGUGACAUACCUCCUCUUUUCUCCCAGAAGAAAAUACUGAAACUAACAGAAUCUUCUCCUUCUCUACAUCCUUCAUUUUCUUAUGUAAGGUUAUUUUCCCCUUUCUUUCUUUUCUUAUGUGAAGGAGACCUAUGGUCUUGCUACUGACUCUUCAAGAAAAGGAGAGCAGCAACUGGGGAAUCAGUCUUCUGUGGAAAAGAGGAAAAAUAGGAAGUAAGAGGAUGUGUCCUUCUGGACACUCGUCGUGUGGUCAAGAAGCCAGCUUUCCCCACUUUUCCCAAAAGUCUUCAGGUGAAUGUCCAGAGAAGUACAUUUUCUCCCCAGCCAUUCUUGCCAACAUCAGGGUAUACUGCAGCAUUCAAGACUGCUGGUGCCAUGUCAUUUCAGAGCCUCCAACAUCAGCUUAGUAUAUUAAAUAAUGCUGUUCCCAAGGAAGGAGAAAUAUCUGCAAGUGGAAUGGCACAGAAUAAUAGCGAGACAUGAGGAGUAGACACACACCUAAGUAUUAAAUGCUUGGGAGGAGUGGGCAGCAUUGGAGUGAUUCUUACUUCUGUGCCAAAUGUGCUUCAUCACAUGUAAGUCCCAUCAGAUUAUUUGUCUGUUUACCAUCGCUUAACAUUUUCAUAGCUUAUUUUAGUAUUUUUGCAGUUAGUAUUAAUGCAUUUGCAUCUAGUAUUUUGCAUUUUGUUUCAACUUUAAUAAAUUAUUUAUGAGUUUAGGAUUACUAACA